Molecule: ribosomal RNA, 463 nt
Filed under: Lactiplantibacillus plantarum subsp. plantarum
Lineage: Bacteria; Bacillati; Bacillota; Bacilli; Lactobacillales; Lactobacillaceae
Description: bacterial SSU rRNA
Rfam family: Bacterial small subunit ribosomal RNA
Source: RNAcentral
UUGAUCCUGGCUCAGGACGAACGCUGGCGGCGUGCCUAAUACAUGCAAGUCGAACGAACUCUGGUAUUGAUUGGUGCUUGCAUCAUGAUUUACAUUUGAGUGAGUGGCGAACUGGUGAGUAACACGUGGGAAACCUGCCCAGAAGCGGGGGAUAACACCUGGAAACAGAUGCUAAUACCGCAUAACAACUUGGACCGCAUGGUCCNAGUUUGAAAGAUGGCUUCGGCUAUCACUUUUGGAUGGUCCCGCGGCGUAUUAGCUAGAUGGUGNGGUAACGGCUCACCAUGGCAAUGAUACGUAGCCGACCUGAGAGGGUAAUCGGCCACAUUGGGACUGAGACACGGCCCAAACUCCUACGGGAGGCAGCAGUAGGGAAUCUUCCACAAUGGACGAAAGUCUGAUGGAGCAACGCCGCGUGAGUGAAGAAGGGUUUCGGCUCGUAAAACUCUGUUGUUAAAGAAGA